Molecule: ribosomal RNA, 499 nt
Filed under: uncultured bacterium
Lineage: Bacteria
Description: bacterial SSU rRNA
Rfam family: Bacterial small subunit ribosomal RNA
Source: RNAcentral
ACUCAAAGGAAUAGACGGGGGCCCGCACAAGCGGUGGAGUAUGUGGUUUAAUUCGAUGCAACGCGAAGAACCUUACCUGCUCUUGACAUGGUAGGAAUCUGACAGAGAUGUUGGAGUGCCGCAAGGAACCUACACACAGGUGCUGCAUGGCUGUCGUCAGCUCGUGUCGUGAGAUGUUGGGUUAAGUCCCGCAACGAGCGCAACCCUUGUUCUUAGUUACCAACACGUUAUGGUGGGGACUCUAGGAAGACUGCUGGCGUUAAGCCAGAGGAAGGAGGGGAUGAUGUCAAGUCAUCAUGGCCCUUACGAGCAGGGCUACACACGUACUACAAUGGUCGGUACAGAGGGAAGCAAGACCGCAAGGUGGAGCAAAUCUCACAAAGCCGAUCGUAGUCCGGAUUGAGGUCUGCAACUCGACCUCAUGAAGCCGGAAUCGCUAGUAAUCGCGGAUCAGAAUGCCGCGGUGAAUACGUUCUCGGGCCUUGUACACACCGCCCGU